RNAcentral lists this ribosomal RNA (495 nucleotides) under uncultured bacterium. Its description in RNAcentral is "partial 16S ribosomal RNA". It matches the Rfam family "Bacterial small subunit ribosomal RNA", at positions 28 to 507 of the family's 1533-position model. The record is from RNAcentral.
GACGAACGCUGGCGGCGUGCCUAAUACAUGCAAGUCGAACGCUGAAGGAGGAGCUUGCUCUUCUGGAUGAGUUGCGAACGGGUGAGUAACGCGUAGGUAACCUGCCUGGUAGCGGGGGAUAACUAUUGGAAACGAUAGCUAAUACCGCAUAAGAGUAGAUGUUGCAUGACAUUUACUUAAAAGGUGCAAUUGCAUCACUACCAGAUGGACCUGCGUUGUAUUAGCUAGUUGGUGGGGUAACGGCUUACCAAGGCGACGAUACAUAGCCGACCUGAGAGGGUGAUCGGCCACACUGGGACUGAGACACGGCCCAGACUCCUACGGUAGGCAGCAGUAGGGAAUCUUCGGCAAUGGACGGAAGUCUGACCGAGCAACGCCGCGUGAGUGAAGAAGGUUUUCGGAUCGUAAAGCUCUGUUGUAAGAGAAGAACGAGUGUGAGAGUGGAAAGUUCACACUGUGACGGUAUCUUACCAGAAAGGGACGGCUAACUACGUG